RNAcentral lists this ribosomal RNA (546 nucleotides) under uncultured bacterium. RNAcentral's name for it is "bacterial SSU rRNA". It matches the Rfam family "Bacterial small subunit ribosomal RNA", at positions 776 to 1287 of the family's 1533-position model. The record is from RNAcentral.
AAAUAGAUACCCCGGUACGUCCACGCCGUAAACGUUGGGCGCUAGAUGUGGGGACCUUUCCACGGUUUCCGUGUCGUAGCUAACGCAUUAAGCGCCCCCGCCUGGGGAGUACGGCCGCAAGGCUAAAAACUCAAAGGAAUUGAACGGGGGCCCGCACAAGCGGCGGAGCAUGCGGAUUAAUUCGAUGCAACGCGAAGAACCUUACCAAGGCUUGACAUACACGAGAACGGGCCAGAAAUGGUCAACUCUUUGGACACUCGUGAACAGGUGGUGCAUGGUUGUCGUCAGCUCGUGUCGUGAGAUGUUGGGUUAAGUCCCGUCAACGAGCGCAACCCUCGUCGCAUGUUGCCAGCACGUUAUGGUGGGGACUCAUGUGAGACUGCCGGGGUCAACGUCGGAGGAAGAGUGGGGGAUAGACGUACAAAGUCAUCCAUCGUCCCCUUACUGUCUUGGGUCCUUCACGCAUGCUAACGAAUAGGGCCGGUAACGAAAGGGCCGUGCGAGUGUACGUAAGGACGGACGCGAACUACCCGAAAAACGCGGUUC